UACGUAGGGUGCAAGCGUUGUCCGGAAUUAUUGGGCGUAAAGAGCUCGUAGGCGGUUUGUUGCGUCGGCUGUGAAAUCCCGAGGCUCAACCUCGGGUCUGCAGUCGAUACGAGCAAACUAGAGUGUUGCAGGGGAGACUGGAAUUCCUGGUGUAGCGGUGAAAUGCGCAGAUAUCAGGAGGAACACCGGUGGCGAAGGCGGUUCUCUGGGCAUGUCCUGACGCUGAGGAGCGAAAGUGUGGGGAGCGAACAGG
RNAcentral lists this ribosomal RNA (253 nucleotides) under uncultured bacterium. RNAcentral's name for it is "partial 16S ribosomal RNA". It matches the Rfam family "Bacterial small subunit ribosomal RNA", at positions 524 to 776 of the family's 1533-position model. The record is from RNAcentral.